RNAcentral lists this transfer RNA (73 nucleotides) under Bos taurus (domestic cattle). It matches the Rfam family "tRNA". Rfam says of the family: Transfer RNA (tRNA) molecules are approximately 80 nucleotides in length. Their secondary structure includes four short double-helical elements and three loops (D, anti-codon, and T loops). Lineage: Eukaryota; Metazoa; Chordata; Mammalia; Artiodactyla; Bovidae. The record is from Rfam by way of RNAcentral. RNAcentral also lists the same sequence under 2 other names.
UCCCUGGUGGUCCUGUGGCUGGGACUCUGCACUCCCAAUGCAGGGGGCCCGGGUUUGAUCCCUGGUCAGGGAA